GGCAGCCCACUCAUUGUGUGUAGAAAAAAUAACAUCAAAAUUAUGCUCUAAUUAUAUAGGCAUUGCGGUACAUGCAAAGCAAUAUCAUAAUAUUUGAUUCUUCCUUUUUAUGCUCUCCGUCAUAGCCAAUCCCCCUCUUUAUACGUACAUGCACUUGCAUCUGUCUUUAUCACUGAUGGAGAAGAUUUUCAUAGAAGAUUUUAGAUUACGUCACAAAUUAGAUAAAGAUAUCUAUUUAUCUGUUUUAGUCCAUAUUUUGAUUUUCAAGUCGUUUUUUGAGGGAAAAACGAAGACGGAAAUACCUGUCCUAUGAAUUGACCGAUAACAGAAGGAAGCAUUUGAAGUGAGUGCGAAAUAGGCGGAGUACUACGAUGUACAAUAACAACUUCUGCCAAAAAUACCAAGCACUGGCAAACACUUGCUGAGUUCAACAACAAAGGUUUUGUCUUACUUUAUAACGAAACAACUGUUUAAAGAUAAAAUUGAGACACAAUAAAGAUACAAUGAAGAUAAAAAUGCCCAACCAAGUCUUUAUUCCAUCACAAUGAGCAUACAUACACCAAGGACAAGGCAACAAGUUCCUUUACUCUCUACAAUUGGAUUAAAAUUGGAUAACUGUUUCACUUGACUAUUGCUACCAAUAUAAGAUUUGCAACUCCGAUCCGAUAGGAGGUUGACUGGAAUAAGAUAAUUCUCACAAAAGGUUAUGGACACAUUACGGAUGUAAAAAUUCUAGCCAUAUCAUUUUUCAAUAUUGUACGAAGAAUGUUGAAUCUAUUGUGGCAGUGAAAUAACAACCACUUAGCUAACAACAAGAUAAUUGAGUUUCACUUUCAAGAUCCCACUGCUUUCCUGUGUCUUCAUUGUUGGGGGUGGGAUGGAAGAUGUUGUUGACUGUUGUGGGAGGUUUUGGGAUAAUUGACACAGAUCCCUGAUCAUGUCUAAGCAUUCUUUUCGAGUUGCCUGAUGUCGAAUUUAAUCUAUUUUAACUGAUAUUGUUUUGGCAGGUUUGGAGAAGUUGUUCUAUAGGGCACUGUUUGCUAAUAUGGCUUGCUGGUGGUGGAAACAAACUUGACAAAGUAACAAACCAACUCAUGUGAGAACGGAAAAGACAGCGUAACAGAGUGAAAGAGAUCUUUCAUUUGAAAGAGUUUUUUUGUUUGAAAGUUCUAUUUAUAUUUCGAUGGUCUUCCUUUUAGUGUAGGCUGUAGUGAAAGGACUAUAAAUAUUCAGUUGAGAGAAAGGAACAGGGUUCCCAAUACAUUUUCAUCAUCUAUAGCCUGAACAAUCACCAGCUAUUUCUCAAAUUACAACCCAAAAUAUUUUCUCCUUACCACAGAAAUGUCAAAGGAAAGGUUUUUCUGUUAUAUAAGCUACAUUUUACAUGAUAUUCUUUGUUAAAUAUUUGAAUAUGAGGAAAUCUUCAAAACAGCUUUUCAAAAUUGCUGGAAAUGCCAUCGCAGAUCAAGGGGAGAUGCCCUCAGACCCCUUCCUCUAGAAGAGUGCAUUCAGUACCAAUAGCCGCCUACUUCUUUCAAAACGCCUCCAAAUUCUAUUGGGGAUCCUGAAAGAAAGUGUGCCACUACUAAGGAAAGGACAUCCCACUGGCUUGAGACACAAUUUUAGGGGGCCGGUUGUUUUUUGCCUGAUGUCAAAUGUUAUCAUCAAAAUUUUUUUGCCUGAUCGUGAACCAAAAAUUGUCCGACUUUGCCCUAUUUCAUUUUACAGUAUACUGCUAGUUAUCCUCCAAGGAAAACAGGCAAUCACUAGGAAUGGAAACAAGAGAUGCAAGAGGAUAUAUCCAUGUGUUAUUAUAUCCCACCAAGGAGGAUGAAGGGACUGGCUGCCCCUCCCCAAUGUUUUUCAAGGAUGGAAAAUUGUCAUCAGAUUGUAGGUGUUCCUUGUCUUGCGUCACAGAAUGCUAUACAGAAGUCCAUCUCCAUUGUUUUAUGCGUAAGCGCCAUUCGUCAUGAAUGAUGAUUUGUCACUCAGCAAGUACCGUAAACAGAAGCAGUCACCUCCCUGGAAAUAUUCAAAAUGGCACAUGUGCAGGGGGUGAUUGCUGCUUCUGUUUACGGUACUUGCCAAGUGACAAAUCAUGACGAAUAGCGCUUUAUUGCACUUACGCAAAAAAAAAACAAUGGAGAUGGACUUCUGUAUAGUAUUCUGUGCUUGCAUGCAUCUUUAAAGCUCUAUUGAUUUGUAUAUUUUCACUACCCGCUCCCAAAUAUAUAUAAAAAUCAUGGCAUUCUAAUUCGUGGUACUUUACACAGAAUAUAAACAUUAAUUUAAUACAACACGC
Molecule: long non-coding RNA, 2302 nt
Filed under: Paramuricea clavata
Lineage: Eukaryota; Metazoa; Cnidaria; Anthozoa; Malacalcyonacea; Plexauridae
Source: RNAcentral